Molecule: ribosomal RNA, 501 nt
Filed under: uncultured soil bacterium
Lineage: Bacteria
Description: bacterial SSU rRNA
Rfam family: Bacterial small subunit ribosomal RNA
Source: RNAcentral
AGAUUGAACGCUGGCGGCAUGCUUUACACAUGCAAGUCGAACGGUAACGCGGGGGCAACCCUGGCGACGAGUGGCGAACGGGUGAGUAAUACAUCGGAACAUGUCCUGGAGUGGGGGAUAGCUCGGCGAAAGCCGGAUUAAUACCGCAUACGCUCUGAGGAGGAAAGCGGGGGACUCGUAAGGGCCUCGCGCUGCGGGAGUGGCCGAUGUCGGAUUAGCUAGUUGGUGAGGUAAAGGCUCACCAAGGCGACGAUCCGUAGCUGGUCUGAGAGGAUGAUCAGCCACACUGGGACUGAGACACGGCCCAGACUCCUACGGGAGGCAGCAGUGGGGAAUUUUGGACAAUGGGGGCAACCCUGAUCCAGCCAUGCCGCGUGAGUGAAGAAGGCCUUCGGUUGUAAAGCUCUUUCGGACGGACGAAACUGGUUACGGUGAAUACCUGUGACUGAUGACGGUACCGUAAAUAAGAAGUCAACCGGCUAACGUACGUGCCAGCAGCCG